AGGUGCUGUACCCACAGUCAUAUCAUUUAACCCUCUCUCCAGCCCAGAUGUCCUGAUCCUAAGGGCCAGGCAGUUAGAUGGGUAUACCCCUAAAGUCCUAUACAACUCAGGGCCCCUGAAAAUGCCCCCUCAUCCAGCAUUUUCCCUACAUAUGGAAACAAACACCAUUGUUUGAAAAAAGUAAAAAACCUUCUUUACACUGAGCUGAAAUUUGCCUCCAGUGAUUUCUUCUUGGACUACACCGAAUAAGUUUCUUGCUCUUCCACUCCAUAAGCCUACAAAAUACUGGAGAACAGCUGUCAGGAGAGAUAACAAACCCGAAGCCUGGAAAUCACUCAUCAAACCAGUUUUCUUCCUUUUAAGUGACAAAUAUGUGGGUUGGGUCAAAACUGGAAGAGAAGAUCUGCUGCCAGGCCACAGUGCCCUUUGGUUUUUGCUUUCCAGAUGCUCGGGAGCCAUUCUGCAGGCAAGCAGACCUAUUUGCAGGGACGGGCAAUUGUUGCUGUGGUGCAAUGAAGCAAGUGGGGCUGGGAAAGAAUCCUUAAGAAGAUGGUUCCUGCCAGAUUUCUUUCUGCCAGUGCCACAAACUUUAAUUAAAGCGAGCCCUCAGGCUGCACCAGGGACUACAGGUGCUGUGAUGUUGGUGUCCAAUGGGGUCAACAGAAAGAACUGCUAACUGUGAGUGAGGCAGCAGCCAAGAUGCAAGCACCAGCCAACAUGCAAAGAGAAAAGAGAAAAUGAACCUGUGUUCCCUUCCGAUAAGACAGUAUUUACAAACCGGAGAUCUGGAGACUGACAGGCGGGGUCCCAAACUCAGCUCUGGCACUUGAAUAAACCAGAUGACUUGGGACAAACUACUUAAUGCUCCUACCUCCCCUCUUCCACACCUUUUCUUCCUCUAUAUAAGGAGGAUGAUAAUAUCUACUCUGUGGAGUUGUUUUUAAUGAUUUACCAAAAUGAACAAAUGUCAGAGUCUUGCUUUGUUGCCCAGUCUGGAGUGAGUGGUGUGAUCACAGCUCACUGCAGCCUCAACCUCCUGGGCUCAAGCGAUCCUCCCACCUCAGCCUCCCAAGUAGCUGCGGCUACAGGCACAUGCCACCACAUCUGGCUAAUUUGUUGUAGAGAUGAGGUUUCACCAUGUUGCCCAG
RNAcentral lists this long non-coding RNA (1148 nucleotides) under Homo sapiens (human). Its description in RNAcentral is "HSALNT0364389". Lineage: Eukaryota; Metazoa; Chordata; Mammalia; Primates; Hominidae. The record is from RNAcentral.